GUACUCGAGCGGCGAACGGGUGAGUAACACGUGAGUAACCUGCCCCCGACUCUGGGAUAAGCCCGGGAAACUGGGUCUAAUACCGGAUACGACCACUUCCCGCAUGGGAUGGUGGUGGAAAGUCUUUUCGGUUGGGGAUGGACUCGCGGCCUAUCAGCUUGUUGGUGGGGUAACGGCCUACCAAGGCGACGACGGGUAGCCGGCCUGAGAGGGCGACCGGCCACACUGGGACUGAGACACGGCCCAGACUCCUACGGGAGGCAGCAGUGGGGAAUAUUGCGCAAUGGGCGAAAGCCUGACGCAGCGACGCCGCGUGGGGGAUGACGGCCUUCGGGUUGUAAACCUCUUUCAGCAGGGACGAAGUUGACGUGUACCUGCAGAAGAAGCGCCGGCUAACUACGUGCCAGCAGCCGCGGUAAUACGUAGGGCGCAAGCGUUGUCCGGAAUUAUUGGGCGUAAAGAGCUCGUAGGUGGCUUGUCACGUCGGGUGUGAAAGCUUGGGGCUUAACUCCAGGUCUGCAUUCGAUACGGGCUGGCUAGAGGUAGGUAGGGGAGAACGGAAUUCCUGGUGUAGCGGUGAAAUGCGCAGAUAUCAGGAGGAACACCGGUGGCGAAGGCGGUUCUCUGGGCCUUACCUGACGCUGAGGAGCGAAAGCGUGGGGAGCGAACAGGAUUAGAUACCCUGGUAGUCCACGCUGUAAACGUUGGGCGCUAGGUGUG
RNAcentral lists this ribosomal RNA (720 nucleotides) under Streptosporangium sp. RNAcentral describes it as "bacterial SSU rRNA". It matches the Rfam family "Bacterial small subunit ribosomal RNA", at positions 87 to 824 of the family's 1533-position model. Lineage: Bacteria; Bacillati; Actinomycetota; Actinomycetes; Streptosporangiales; Streptosporangiaceae. The record is from RNAcentral.